ACGGAAGGCAGCAGUGGGGGAUAUUGCACAAUGGAGGAAACCCUGAUGCAGCAACGCCGCGUGAGGGAAGAAGGUUUUCGGAUUGUAAACCUCUGUUUUUAGUGAAGAAACAAAUGACGGUAGCUAAAGAGGAAGCCACGGCUAACUACGUGCCAGCAGCCGCGGUAAUACGUAGGUGGCAAGCGUUGUCCGGAUUUACUGGGUGUAAAGGGUGCGCAGGCGGGACUGCAAGUUGGAUGUGAAAAUCCGAGGCUCAACCUCGGAACUGCAUCCAAAACUGUGGUUCUUGAGUGGAGCAGAGGUAAGCGGAAUUCCGAGUGUAGCGGUGAAAUGCGUAGAUAUUCGGAGGAACACCAGUGGCGAAGGCGGCUUACUGGGCUCUAACUGACGCUGAGGCACGAAAGUGUGGGUAGCAAACAGGAUUAGAUACCCUGGUA
This 437-nucleotide ribosomal RNA is filed under the name uncultured Clostridium sp. Its description in RNAcentral is "partial 16S ribosomal RNA". It matches the Rfam family "Bacterial small subunit ribosomal RNA", at positions 341 to 792 of the family's 1533-position model. Lineage: Bacteria; Bacillati; Bacillota; Clostridia; Eubacteriales; Clostridiaceae. The record is from RNAcentral.